AUUAAACGCUGGCGGCAUGCCUUACACAUGCAAGUCGAACGGCAGCACGGGGGCAACCCUGGUGGCGAGUGGCGGACGGGUGAGUAAAGCAUCGGAACGUAUCCUGGAGUGGGGGGAUAACGUAGCGAAAGUUACGCUAAUACCGCAUAUUCUGUGAGCAGGAAAGCAGGGGAUCGCAAGACCUUGCGCUCUGGGAGCGGCCGAUGUCGGAUUAGCUAGUUGGUGGGGUAAAGGCCUACCAAGGCGACGAUCCGUAGCGGGUCUGAGAGGAUGAUCCGCCACACUGGGACUGAGACACGGCCCAGACUCCUACGGGAGGCAGCAGUGGGGAAUUCUGGACAAUGGGCGGAAGCCUGAUCCAGCCAUGCCGCGUGAGUGAAGAAGGCCUUC
Molecule: ribosomal RNA, 390 nt
Filed under: uncultured bacterium
Lineage: Bacteria
Description: bacterial SSU rRNA
Rfam family: Bacterial small subunit ribosomal RNA
Source: RNAcentral